ACCCAGCUGGGCGAGUCUGAGCACUGUUGGGUAACUUCAGGUGACGUGGAGGCAGACACCAGGAAGCCUCGAGCAUUUAAAACCGAACCAACAACGGCGGUUACGCAUUCAGAAUGAUCAGCGCUUUUGUUUAUAUCCACGGAUAACGUUAACGGCGUACAGCGAAUGAUCGAGGAGCUGUGAAGACGACGACAAGUGGCGACCUCCAGCAGAAGCGCUGCGACUGAAGGCCUCGCCCGCGUGCGGCACAGCAAGCGAAUUCCUGUUCGCGUUGCCAGGGCCAGCGACCGCUUUGCCUUGACCGAACCAUCGGCAACAAUCGCAGCACCAGCAUAAUAAUCCAGGUUCCUGUGCCUGACACCUUAGCAAUAAUUGAAGAUUUAGUCCAACAUGGACUGAACCCUGAUGUUCCUACUCUGGUUAGGCACUGCCUUACCAACACUUACUUCACCUGGAAUGGUACUUUCUACAAACAAAAUGAAGAGGCAGUCGUGACAUUUGGACAA
Molecule: long non-coding RNA, 506 nt
Organism: Lethenteron reissneri (Far Eastern brook lamprey)
Lineage: Eukaryota; Metazoa; Chordata; Hyperoartia; Petromyzontiformes; Petromyzontidae
Source: RefSeq, a predicted model, not a curated record